This 416-nucleotide ribosomal RNA is filed under the name uncultured bacterium. RNAcentral describes it as "bacterial SSU rRNA". It matches the Rfam family "Bacterial small subunit ribosomal RNA", at positions 32 to 429 of the family's 1533-position model. The record is from RNAcentral.
AAUCAACGCUGGCGGCGUGCCUAACACAUGCAAGUCGAGCGGGAAAGGGGGCUUCGGUCCCUGAGUAUAGCGGCGGACGGGUGAGUAACACGUGGGUAAUUUGCCCUUGGGUGUGGAAUAACUCAGGGGAAACUUGAGCUAAUACCGCAUGACAUCCCCUUCUCACAGGAGUUGGGGAAUCAAAGCCGGGGACCCUCGGGGCCUGGCGCCUGAGGAGAAGCCCGCGCCCGAUUAGCUAGUUGGUGAGGUAAUGGCUCACCAAGGCUUCGAUCGGUAGCCGGCCUGAGAGGGCGGACGGCCACACUGGGACUGAGACACGGCCCAGGACUCCUACGGGAGCAGCAGUGGGGAAUUUUUGCAAUGGGGGAAACCCUGAACAAGCAACGCCGCGUGGAGGACGACGACCUCGGUGUAAC